UACGUAGGGUGCAAGCGUUGUCCGGAAUUAUUGGGCGUAAAGAGCUCGUAGGCGGUCUGUCGCGUCUGCUGUGAAAACUCGGGGCUUAACCCCGGGCCUGCAGUGGGUACGGGCAGACUAGAGUGCGGUAGGGGAGACUGGAAUUCCUGGUGUAGCGGUGAAAUGCGCAGAUAUCGGGAGGAACACCGGUGGCGAAGGCGGUUCUCUGGGCCUUACCUGACGCUGAGGAGCGAAAGCGUGGGGAGCGAUCAGG
Molecule: ribosomal RNA, 253 nt
Filed under: uncultured bacterium
Lineage: Bacteria
Description: partial 16S ribosomal RNA
Rfam family: Bacterial small subunit ribosomal RNA
Source: RNAcentral